GUGAGGAAUUUUCCGCAAUGGGCGAAAGCCUGACGGAGCAAUGCCGCGUGAAGGAUGAAGGCCUAUGGGUUGUAAACUUCUUUUCUCAGAAAAGAAUUAUGACGGUAUCUGAGGAAUAAGCAUCGGCUAACUCUGUGCCAGCAGCCGCGGUAAGACAGAGGAUGCAAGCGUUAUCCGGAAUGAUUGGGCGUAAAGCGUCUGUAGGUUGUUUAAAAAGUAUUCUGUCAAAGAUUAGGGCUUAACCCUAGAUAGGCAGAAUAAACUUUUAAGCUAGAGUUUGGUAGAGGCAGAGGGAAUUCCCGGUGGAGCGGUGAAAUGCGUAGAUAUCGGUAGGAACACCAAAGGCGAAGGCACUCUGCUGGGCCAAUACUAACACUGAGAGACGAAAGCGAGGGGAGCAAAUGGGAUUAGAUACCCCAGUAGUCC
RNAcentral lists this ribosomal RNA (426 nucleotides) under uncultured bacterium. Its description in RNAcentral is "partial 16S ribosomal RNA". It matches the Rfam family "Bacterial small subunit ribosomal RNA", at positions 354 to 796 of the family's 1533-position model. The record is from RNAcentral.